This 629-nucleotide ribosomal RNA is filed under the name Mycobacterium sp. Se3Ps_2738. RNAcentral's name for it is "bacterial SSU rRNA". It matches the Rfam family "Bacterial small subunit ribosomal RNA", at positions 387 to 1028 of the family's 1533-position model. Lineage: Bacteria; Bacillati; Actinomycetota; Actinomycetes; Mycobacteriales; Mycobacteriaceae. The record is from RNAcentral.
UGCAGCGACGCCGCGUGAGGGAUGACGGCCUUCGGGUUGUAAACCUCUUUCAGCAGGGACGAAGCGCAAGUGACGGUACCUGUAGAAGAAGGACCGGCCAACUACGUGCCAGCAGCCGCGGUAAUACGUAGGGUCCGAGCGUUGUCCGGAAUUACUGGGCGUAAAGAGCUCGUAGGUGGUUUGUCGCGUUGUUCGUGAAAACUCACAGCUUAACUGUGGGCGUGCGGGCGAUACGGGCAGACUUGAGUACUGCAGGGGAGACUGGAAUUCCUGGUGUAGCGGUGGAAUGCGCAGAUAUCAGGAGGAACACCGGUGGCGAAGGCGGGUCUCUGGGCAGUAACUGACGCUGAGGAGCGAAAGCGUGGGGAGCGAACAGGAUUAGAUACCCUGGUAGUCCACGCCGUAAACGGUGGGUACUAGGUGUGGGUUUCCUUCCUUGGGAUCCGUGCCGUAGCUAACGCAUUAAGUACCCCGCCUGGGGAGUACGGCCGCAAGGCUAAAACUCAAAGAAAUUGACGGGGGCCCGCACAAGCGGCGGAGCAUGUGGAUUAAUUCGAUGCAACGCGAAGAACCUUACCUGGGUUUGACAUGCACAGGACGUGCCUAGAGAUAGGUAUUCCCUUGUGGCC